RNAcentral lists this ribosomal RNA (351 nucleotides) under Pseudomonas aeruginosa. Its description in RNAcentral is "bacterial SSU rRNA". It matches the Rfam family "Bacterial small subunit ribosomal RNA", at positions 115 to 470 of the family's 1533-position model. The record is from RNAcentral. Lineage: Bacteria; Pseudomonadati; Pseudomonadota; Gammaproteobacteria; Pseudomonadales; Pseudomonadaceae.
GCCUAGGAAUCUGCCUGGUAGUGGGGGAUAACGUCCGGAAACGGGCGCUAAUACCGCAUACGUCCUGAGGGAGAAAGUGGGGGAUCUUCGGACCUCACGCUAUCAGAUGAGCCUAGGUCGGAUUAGCUAGUUGGUGGGGUAAAGGCCUACCAAGGCGACGAUCCGUAACUGGUCUGAGAGGAUGAUCAGUCACACUGGAACUGAGACACGGUCCAGACUCCUACGGGAGGCAGCAGUGGGGAAUAUUGGACAAUGGGCGAAAGCCUGAUCCAGCCAUGCCGCGUGUGUGAAGAAGGUCUUCGGAUUGUAAAGCACUUUAAGUUGGGAGGAAGGGCAGUAAGUUAAUACCUU